GGGCGAAUAGCUCAGUUGGGAGAGCGCCGCGUUCGCAACGCGGAGGUCGAGGGUUCGAACCCCUUUUCGUCCACCA
This 76-nucleotide transfer RNA is filed under the name Clostridia bacterium. RNAcentral describes it as "tRNA-Ala". It matches the Rfam family "tRNA". From Rfam's summary of the family: Transfer RNA (tRNA) molecules are approximately 80 nucleotides in length. The record is from RNAcentral. RNAcentral also lists the same sequence under 1 other name. Lineage: Bacteria; Bacillati; Bacillota; Clostridia.